UGAGGAAUAUUGGUCAAUGGGGGCAACCCUGAACCAGCCAAGUCGCGUGAAGGAUGAAGGUCUUAUGGAUUGUAAACUUCUUUUACACGGGAAUAGAGUGGGGGACGUGUCCCCCUUUGCAUGUACCGUGUGAAUAAGGAUCGGCUAACUCCGUGCCAGCAGCCGCGGUAAUACGGAGGAUCCGAGCGUUAUCCGGAAUUAUUGGGUUUAAAGGGUGCGCAGGCGGGAUGUUAAGUCGGCGGUGAAAUUUUGCAGCUCAACUGUAGAAGUGCCUUAGAUACUGGCCUCCUUGAGUGUGGAUGAAGUAGGCGGAAUUUGUGGUGUAGCGGUGAAAUGCUUAGAUAUCACGAGGAACUCCGAUUGCGCAGGCAGCUUACUAAGCCACAACGGACGCUCAUGCACGAAGG
RNAcentral lists this ribosomal RNA (407 nucleotides) under uncultured bacterium. RNAcentral describes it as "bacterial SSU rRNA". It matches the Rfam family "Bacterial small subunit ribosomal RNA", at positions 355 to 759 of the family's 1533-position model. The record is from RNAcentral.